Molecule: unclassified non-coding RNA, 358 nt
Filed under: soil metagenome
Description: partial contains 5.8S ribosomal RNA, internal transcribed spacer 2, and large subunit ribosomal RNA
Rfam family: 5.8S ribosomal RNA (bases 1-120)
Source: RNAcentral
GAUGAAGAACGUAGCGAAAUGCGAUAAGUAAUGUGAAUUGCAGAAUUCAGUGAAUCAUCGAAUCUUUGAACGCACAUUGCGCCCGUCAGUAUUCUGGCGGGCAUGCCUGUUCGAGCGUCAUUACGCCCCUCAAGUCCCCUGUGGACUUGGUGUUGGGGAUCGGCGAGGCUGGUGUUCCAGCACAGCCGUCCCUUAAAUUAAUUGGCGGUCUCGCCGUGGCCCUCCUCUGCGCAGUAGUAAAACACUCGCAACAGGAGCCCGGCGCGGUCCACUGCCGUAAAACCCCCCAACUUUUUAUAGUUGACCUCGAAUCAGGUAGGACUACCCGCUGAACUUAAGCAUAUCAAUAAGCGGAGGA